This is a long non-coding RNA of Alosa alosa (allis shad), 316 nucleotides long. RefSeq lists it as uncharacterized. The transcript has 3 exons. The record is from RefSeq and is a predicted model, not a curated record. NCBI's taxonomy places the organism in Eukaryota, Metazoa, Chordata, Actinopteri, Clupeiformes, Clupeidae.
CCUCAGAUUGCUCAACUCCAGUGUGCUGAAAUUGAAGAGAAACAUAUAUGGCUUAUUUAUGCAGUUUGUUUGUGGGAUAUUUACGGCUGUUAUGGUGACUCUGUACAUUGGAAAGACAUGGCCAGUUUCACAACUUUGCAAAGAGGGAGAGCACAACACAACUGUAGAGAGCGCUCUUUGGCCAAUUCUCUGCGGCGGGAGAGCCUGAAGCUGGACCGCACAUUGCGCUCUCUGGGUGUCCAGUACCAGCGAGAAUUAGCAGGCUUUCGGAAUGUUCAGAUGGAGGUGCAGAGGGCACUUGAGCGUCUGGACGGUG